Molecule: transfer RNA, 63 nt
Filed under: Trioceros jacksonii
Lineage: Eukaryota; Metazoa; Chordata; Lepidosauria; Squamata; Chamaeleonidae
Description: tRNA-Tyr
Source: RNAcentral
UGGGUAGGGGAGAAACUCCGUAAAUAAGUUUACAGCUUACCGCCUUCACUCGGCCACCUAACC